CUGGUUACGUGAUGAAUGAAAUCAAAUCACCAUCUUUCGGCUGAACUUAAGCUCAUGAUGGAUUUGCUUUUUUUUCUGAUAAAGCUG
Molecule: non-coding RNA, 87 nt
Organism: Myotis lucifugus (little brown bat)
Lineage: Eukaryota; Metazoa; Chordata; Mammalia; Chiroptera; Vespertilionidae
Source: Rfam